Molecule: ribosomal RNA, 800 nt
Filed under: Enterococcus faecium
Lineage: Bacteria; Bacillati; Bacillota; Bacilli; Lactobacillales; Enterococcaceae
Description: bacterial SSU rRNA
Rfam family: Bacterial small subunit ribosomal RNA
Source: RNAcentral
CUGGCGGCGUGCCUAAUACAUGCAAGUCGAACGCUUCUUUUUCCACCGGAGCUUGCUCCACCGGAAAAAGAGGAGUGGCGAACGGGUGAGUAACACGUGGGUAACCUGCCCAUCAGAAGGGGAUAACACUUGGAAACAGGUGCUAAUACCGUAUAACAAUCAAAACCGCAUGGUUUUGAUUUGAAAGGCGCUUUCGGGUGUCGCUGAUGGAUGGACCCGCGGUGCAUUAGCUAGUUGGUGAGGUAACGGCUCACCAAGGCCACGAUGCAUAGCCGACCUGAGAGGGUGAUCGGCCACAUUGGGACUGAGACACGGCCCAAACUCCUACGGGAGGCAGCAGUAGGGAAUCUUCGGCAAUGGACGAAAGUCUGACCGAGCAACGCCGCGUGAGUGAAGAAGGUUUUCGGAUCGUAAAACUCUGUUGUUAGAGAAGAACAAGGAUGAGAGUAACUGUUCAUCCCUUGACGGUAUCUAACCAGAAAGCCACGGCUAACUACGUGCCAGCAGCCGCGGUAAUACGUAGGUGGCAAGCGUUGUCCGGAUUUAUUGGGCGUAAAGCGAGCGCAGGCGGUUUCUUAAGUCUGAUGUGAAAGCCCCCGGCUCAACCGGGGAGGGUCAUUGGAAACUGGGAGACUUGAGUGCAGAAGAGGAGAGUGGAAUUCCAUGUGUAGCGGUGAAAUGCGUAGAUAUAUGGAGGAACACCAAUGGCGAAGGCGGCUCUCUGGUCUGUAACUGACGCUGACGCUCGAAAGCGUGGGGAGCAAACAGGAUUAGAUACCCUGGUAGUCCACGCCGUAAAC